UUUUUGAAGAGUUUGAUCCUGGCUCAGGACGAACGCUGGCGGUGCGCUUAAUGCAUGCAAGUCGAACGAACCUAUCCGCUUCGGCGGGGACGGAGAGUGGCAGACGGCUGAGUAACACGUAAGUGACCAACCCCGGAGCGGGGGACAAGCCGGAGAAAUCCGGUCUAAUACCCCAUACGUUCCAUCAGCUACGGCUAAUGGAAGAAAGAUUUAUCACUCUGGGACGGGCUUGCGGCCUAUCAGAUAGUUGGUGGGGUAAUGGCCUACCAAGUCGUAGACGGGUAUCCGGUGUGAGAGCACGAACGGGCAGAGGGGGACUGAGACACGGCCCCCACUCCUACGGGAGGCAGCAGCAGGGAAUCUUGCGCAAUGGGCGAAAGCCUGACGCAGCGACACCG
Molecule: ribosomal RNA, 398 nt
Filed under: Chloroflexota bacterium
Lineage: Bacteria; Bacillati; Chloroflexota
Description: bacterial SSU rRNA
Rfam family: Bacterial small subunit ribosomal RNA
Source: RNAcentral